AGGACGAACGCUGGCGGCGUGCUUAACACAUGCAAGUCGAGCGGAAAGGUCCUUCGGGGUACUCGAGCGGCGAACGGGUGAGUAACACGUGGGCAAUCUGCCCCUAGCUCUGGGAUAACUCCGGGAAACCGGGGCUAAUACUGGAUAUGACCUUUCCUCGCAUGGGGUUGGGUGUAAAGGGUUUCUGGCUAGGGAUGGGCCCGCGGCCUAUCAGCUUGUUGGUGGGGUAAUGGCCUACCAAGGCGACGACGGGUAGCCGGCCUGAGAGGGCGACCGGCCACACUGGGACUGAGACACGGCCCAGACUCCUACGGGAGGCAGCAGUGGGGAAUCUUGCACAAUGGGCGAAAGCCUGAUGCAGCGACGCCGCGUGAGGGAUGACGGCCUUCGGGUUGUAAACCUCUUUCAGCAGGGACGAAGCGCAAGUGACGGUACCUGCAGAAGAAGCACCGGCCAACUACGUGCCAGCAGCCGC
Molecule: ribosomal RNA, 475 nt
Filed under: uncultured bacterium
Lineage: Bacteria
Description: SSU rRNA
Rfam family: Bacterial small subunit ribosomal RNA
Source: RNAcentral